This 253-nucleotide ribosomal RNA is filed under the name uncultured bacterium. Its description in RNAcentral is "partial 16S ribosomal RNA". It matches the Rfam family "Bacterial small subunit ribosomal RNA", at positions 524 to 776 of the family's 1533-position model. The record is from RNAcentral.
UACGGAGGGUGCAAGCGUUAUCCGGAAUCACUGGGUUUAAAGGGUGCGUAGGCGGCUAUGUAAGUCAGAGGUGAAAUGUUGUCGCUUAACGAUAAAAUUGCCUUUGAAACUGCUAGGCUUGAAUUGGGUUGAGGUAGGCGGAAUGUGACAUGUAGCGGUGAAAUGCAUAGAUAUGUCAUGGAACACCGAUUGCGAAGGCAGCUUACUAGACCUUGAUUGACGCUGAGGCACGAAAGCGUGGGGAGCGAACAGG